Molecule: ribosomal RNA, 34 nt
Filed under: Erysiphe neolycopersici
Lineage: Eukaryota; Fungi; Ascomycota; Leotiomycetes; Helotiales; Erysiphaceae
Description: Oidium neolycopersici partial 28S ribosomal RNA
Source: RNAcentral
UUGACCUCGAAUCAAGUAGGAAUACCCGCUGAAC